This 482-nucleotide ribosomal RNA is filed under the name uncultured bacterium. RNAcentral's name for it is "bacterial SSU rRNA". It matches the Rfam family "Bacterial small subunit ribosomal RNA", at positions 56 to 527 of the family's 1533-position model. The record is from RNAcentral.
UGCAGUCGACGGUAACAUAAGGUGCUUGCACUUUGAUGACGAGUGGCGCACGGGUGCGUAACGCGUAUAGAACCUACCCUGUACAGGGGGAUAGCCCAGAGAAAUUUGGAUUAAUACCCCGUAGUAACUACUGACGGCAUCAUUAGUAGUUUAAAGUUUUCGGAUGGUACAGGAUGGCUAUGCGUCCUAUUAGUUAGAUGGUGAGGUAACGGCUCACCAUGGGCAGCGAUAGGUAGGGGCCCUGAAAGGGGGAUCCCCCCACACUGGUACUGAAACACGGACCAAACUCCUACGGGGAGGCAGCAGUGAGGAAUAUUGGACAAUGGGCAAAAACCUGAUCCAGCCCUGCCCCGUGCAGGAAGAACGGCCUAUGGGUUGUAAACUGCUUUUAUACGGGAAGAAAAAAGGACACGUGUGGUCCUGGUGACGGUACCGUAAGAAUAAAGACCGGCUAACUCCGUGCCAGCAGCCGCGGUAAUACG